AUGGAACCAAACUCAAGAGAGACACUGAUUUACAUCCAGCCUUUUUAACACAGUCUCAGGAUUCAGCAGUCCUAUAGCAGAGCCCUGUCUUGAAUGAUAUCAGUAUUCACUAAUUACCAGAACUCACCUGGUUCCUCGACACUGCUCCGUUUGGACUUGCCUACUCACUAAUCACCUACCUGCCUGCCCUCCUGGACUGGGGAGCAUAAUCCGUUGGUUUUCCUUGGCUCAGAAACCCCUCAAACCCCUCUUGAUACCUCCUCCUGAGAAUGUCAGCUCACAAUGCUUUCCCUCCCUGUGACCCUGGACUCUUGUUCUGACCUCUCCCAUAUUAGCUGGUUUCUCAUAGUCAGUUGUUUCAAUAAAGUGUUUGCAUCAACUAGAGUUGCCUAGUUUGA
Molecule: long non-coding RNA, 398 nt
Organism: Oreochromis aureus
Lineage: Eukaryota; Metazoa; Chordata; Actinopteri; Cichliformes; Cichlidae
Source: Ensembl